UGGCUCAGAGGUUAAAGCGUCUGCUUGAAAUGCAGGAGACUUGGGUUCGAUCCCUGA
RNAcentral lists this transfer RNA (57 nucleotides) under Bos taurus (domestic cattle). It matches the Rfam family "tRNA", at positions 8 to 63 of the family's 71-position model. From Rfam's summary of the family: Transfer RNA (tRNA) molecules are approximately 80 nucleotides in length. Their secondary structure includes four short double-helical elements and three loops (D, anti-codon, and T loops). Further hydrogen bonds mediate the characteristic L-shaped molecular structure. tRNAs have two regions of fundamental functional importance: the anti-codon, which is responsible for specific mRNA codon recognition, and the 3' end, to which the tRNAs corresponding amino acid is attached (by aminoacyl-tRNA synthetases). tRNAs cope with the degeneracy of the genetic code in two manners: having more than one tRNA (with a specific anti-codon) for a particular amino acid; and 'wobble' base-pairing, i.e. permitting non-standard base-pairing at the 3rd anti-codon position. Lineage: Eukaryota; Metazoa; Chordata; Mammalia; Artiodactyla; Bovidae. The record is from Rfam by way of RNAcentral. RNAcentral also lists the same sequence under 1 other name.